UAGAAAAUAAUAUAAAGGGAGUAUGGAGGGUUUUGAUCUCUCUAGUGUGGGUUCGAUUCCUACUUUUCUAA
RNAcentral lists this transfer RNA (71 nucleotides) under Pycnonotus jocosus (red-whiskered bulbul). Its description in RNAcentral is "tRNA-Gln". It matches the Rfam family "tRNA". Rfam says of the family: Transfer RNA (tRNA) molecules are approximately 80 nucleotides in length. Lineage: Eukaryota; Metazoa; Chordata; Aves; Passeriformes; Pycnonotidae. The record is from RNAcentral.